CCUACGGGCGGCAGCAGUGAGGAAUAUUGGUCAAUGGACGAGAGUCUGAACCCGCCAAGUAGCGUGAAGGAUGACUGCCCUAUGGGUUGUAAACUUCUUUUAUAUGGGAAUAAAAUGUUCCACGUGUGGGAUUUUGUAUGUACCAUAUGAAUAAGGAUCGGCUAACUCCGUGCCAGCAGCCGCGGUAAUACGGAGGAUCCGAGCGUUAUCCGGAUUUAUUGGGUUUAAAGGGAGCGUAGGUGGAUUGUUAAGUCAGUUGUGAAAGUUUGCGGCUCAACCGUAAAAUUGCAGUUGAAACUGGCAGUCUUGAGUACAGUAGAGGUGGGCGGAAUUCGGGGUGUAGCGGUGAAAUGCUUAGAUAUCACGAAGAACUCCGAUUGCGAAGGCAGUUCACUGGACUGCAACUGACACUGAGGCUCGAAAGUGUGGGUAUCAAACAGGAUUAGAUACCCGGGUAGUC
Molecule: ribosomal RNA, 460 nt
Filed under: uncultured bacterium
Lineage: Bacteria
Description: partial 16S ribosomal RNA
Rfam family: Bacterial small subunit ribosomal RNA
Source: RNAcentral